GGUGAUUCGAUUUUGCCACAUUUUGGUUACUGGUCAGAUGUUGAUAUCAUUGUUCUAAAUUUCUGAGUAAGACGCUGUAACUGCCAGGAUACCUGCAGCCCCAAUAAUGGCGAAUAACACAAAUGGAGCAAAGCAUCUUUCAAACCAAACAAGACUGCUGCGACAGGGUCCGGUAUUUCAAAAGUUACCUGGGUUUCACGUAUCGACUAUGAUUAAUGCAUAGGGUAGAUUUCAUACAGUGCAUAUAAACGGGCGAAUCAUAACGUGAAUGGGUAUUUGUUUUUUCACUGUAUUUCAAUGCAUCUAAAUAUAAACCUAUCAGAUGGUUAAAAUCCAGGUGGAUAACUUUGGUAUAACCAGCCCCAGGUGACCUGCUUCUGCCGUGCAUGUGAUGAGAUGACACUAUACGCGCAGCCGUGCAAAGACCGUUCUCUCCCCCGACGUAUCAGACAACACGGAGGAUUCGACGUGGAUGCAAUGUGAAAAUGAGAUGAUUUUCACAAUUCAUUUAUUAACAAACGUAGGCCUAACUGCAGCGUUUGAAUGUUCAUUGCGAUGUAGCCUAUAGAUUAUAAAUGUGUUGCGCGUCCAUUCAAUGAUGCCUGGCCCAGCCUACGGACCGUUAUUGGAUAACUGGACUUGGAUUGGAUUGCUGUGUUGUAUCUACCAUGGUCACUAUCAUUCUCUUAUCAUUCCAUCCUGAUCCGAAUUCUGGACCAGAUAUCUGAAUAGGAAUCUUUAAAAUUGUGAAUUUGUAGUGCUUUCUAUGAGGAGAUGUGACAUAUCAACAUUUUCUUUUUUUGACCGAAAUGUGAAAGGUAACGGCGGAAUGAUUACCAGCUACUGUUGAGGAACACCUCAACACUAUUUUGUUAACAUUUUCUAAUAUAGCAUAUUUUACUAUGCCUGUGUGCGCAGGCGUGUUGGCCGGGACCCAGUCCCUGUGCUUGGAUACAUUCUGGCGUGAUGUUGGCUAUAUGGGGGGAAAGUGAAGAAAACAGAACAUUAACAUGCAUCGGCAAAGUGGUCUUCCGGCAACGAAAGGAUUUACUUGUUAUCCUUAAAAAAUACAUUGUGCCAGCGAAGAAUGUCAGGGACAUCCAAUACGGAAUCUGCUGAAGGAGUAGUCUCCAAAGUUAAAGUAAAAAAGCAGAUCAAGACAAUCGUGAAGGAUUUGGAGACCAUUCUGGGAGACUUGAGGGAUGUAGCCAAGGAACUCAAAGAGGUUGUGCAUGAGAUUGACUCCCUCACCUGUGACCUACAGCUGGAGGAGGAGAUGACGGACAGCUCCAAGACGGACACGCUGAACAGCAGUUCCAGUAGCACCGCCACCACCACCACGGCCUCCAGCAUCGAGAAGAUCAAGAUCUACCCCGACGACGCCUCCUUCAGGCCCCCGUCUGUCGUUCCCGCUGUUCUGACGGUGCUGAAGAAGCCCCACCCUCCCCCGCCCCCUCCCAGGCUGACACCUAUCAAGGCGGAGGAGAAUAACAAGAAUUCUCCAUCAGGGAACCUUCUAACCAAGGCUAAUGGGACACUUAUGCGCAACGGUGUUUUCCCUGGGAAGCCAAACAGAGACUUAUCGUGCUGCAUCUCUAAUAGUAAAAAGGACGAGAAGGCACUUCUGCCCGUACCUUUGCUACGGCACGAAAAGAGCAAAUGUGCCCAGGCGACCCGGGAGCGGGUCCGGUUCAGUGAAAAGGUCCAGUAUCAUGGCUACUGCCCUGACUGUGACCUGCAAUACGACGUUGAAAACACAGAUAUGCACUUACAGCUGGAGCUGACGGAUGACACCAGCCCUGUCCAUCAGUGCACCUCCUUACCACUCGCGUUGGAAAACGGCGGCCUCAGUGUUAGCUACAGUUUCCCACCCGCAAACCCACCUCUUGUGCCUCGUCCUCGCCCUUCCCCGAAGCCCCAGAAGACCAUCCUGAGGAAAUCGACCACCACUACGGUUUGAUGGUAAUCACCCGUAUUUUCAAUUCCCCCUGAAUUAUUUAUAGUGUUUUCUAAUUUCAUGAGCACUUUAUAAUCCGGUCAACGGAUGAGAACGGAUGGAGGGAGACGGAGAGGAUGUCGUCGUGAGCUCAGAAAUGCACAAGGAGAGAAUGAAUGGUUCCUCUAGGUAAGAGUGGAAACAGCCUUCACUGACACGAAACUGAUCAACUUUGGUACAUCAUGCAUUCUGUGAGAAUGAGGCUCCCCAUCUUUGACAAAAUCCCUGAUCC
This is an RNA transcript of Esox lucius (northern pike), 2228 nucleotides long. It is a transcript of the gene named proline rich 16, with no coding region annotated. The record is from RefSeq and is a predicted model, not a curated record. The transcript has 3 exons. Lineage: Eukaryota; Metazoa; Chordata; Actinopteri; Esociformes; Esocidae.